GGGAGAGAGGGAAGGAGGAAGAAGGGGAGGGCAUGCGUGGAGAGGCUUCCUUGUUCCUCCACCAUGUGGCCAAGAGGCUUUCAUGGUUGCCAAAGCCAGAGGGUCCUCAGAAUCCUCCUCAAAGUGCUGGGCUAGAACAGUCAUCAACCGUGGUCUGGAAGCAGAUGAUCACCUCUGAUAUAUGGUCAGCAGUAGCCUAAUGCUAAGUCAUGAUGCCUAUGUCAUUCUCCCAACUUCAUCUCAUCACAUAGGCAUUUUAUAUCUCAUCAUCACAAGAAGAAGGAGGCUCUUCUUUAGAAGACCAUGCUGGUUUUUAAAGCUGUGAUCACAAGGGAAGAAAUUCACUUUCCCCAGACUGGAUCAAAUCUAUUCAUUUUGUCAGGUAAUAUUUUCUAUUUCCUGCUAAGAAACA
Long non-coding RNA from Zalophus californianus (California sea lion), 412 nucleotides. RefSeq lists it as uncharacterized. The record is from RefSeq and is a predicted model, not a curated record. NCBI's taxonomy places the organism in Eukaryota, Metazoa, Chordata, Mammalia, Carnivora, Otariidae. The transcript is spliced from 3 exons.